UCCACACCUACCUAAAACUUUUGCACAGUACCGUACACUGCUCAGAUAAAUUACAGGAACACUGGAUAUCUAUACUGAUGCAGACUGGUUAAUGUGUUAGAAAUGCAGGGAUGCCACAUCGUUUGAUGGAAAGGAAAAUGAUCAACCUGCAAAGACAGCCCAAAAAUCAAAAUGAAAAAAUGAUGCAGCAGGUUAGUCUGUUUUCCUGGAAUGUCAUUGCAGAGCAUUGCAUACUCUCACCUCAUCACGCCUGCACUGUUGUGCAACAGGAGGAACCCAGGACCCACUGCACCAGCGUAGAGUGACAAUGGCUUCAAGAAUUUCAUCAUUCUACUGCCUAGUCUGUAGAAAACUGUACAUCCUUCCAUGGAUAUGCGUCCCGAGACCAUCACUGACCCACCACCAAACUUGUCAUGUCGGACACUGCACUAACAUCUGGCAGGACAAACCAGAUGUCAGGAAAUAUUAACAGCCUUGUCAGCAACAGAGCAGAAAGUCCUCAAAUUGCAGCACCCCGAGAGCAAACCUGCAUGGCUCUGUGAACUCUAGUGUCUCAAAGGGACUACAUGAUAUAAAACUCAGUAAUCUUCAAGAAUAGUUCCUGAGGGUUCCUGGAGGACAUUCAAAGCUCUUCUUUGGACGCUGGCUACGUUUUGUUCUGUUCUCUGUGAAGAUGAUCCCACACCGCUCCAAUAAUGUUGAGAGACCUGCCAUCUUCAGAGGUUUCCUGAUGACUCUGCGAUGGUUGAAUGCACCAGCUAGGGUGAUGAGAUGGGGUAGCGGGCUGUGGUGGACUCCUUUGUCUCAUGGUGCGAGCAGAAUCAUCAGCAGCUCAGCGUGACAAAGACCAAGGAAUUGAUUGUGGACUUUAGGAGGACCAGGAAACCAGCGACCCCUGCUUUAAUCCAAGGGGUCGAUGUGGACAUAGUGGAGGACUAUAAAUACCUCAGAGUACACACUGACAAUAAAGUGGACUAGGUUAAAAACACCACUGCACUCUACAGGAAGGGCCAAAGUCGUCUGUAUUUUCUGAGGCGGCUGAGAUCUUUUAACAUCUGUGAGUACUCGUAAUAUUCUAUGAGUCUGUUGCAUGCUGGGGCAGCAGGUUGAGGGUCGCAGAUGCCAACAGACUCAGUAAACAUAUGUGCAAGGCCAGUAAUGUCAUGGGAAUGGAGUUGGACUCUCUAAAGGUGGUGUUGGAGAGGUGGAUAUUCUUUAAAUUCUCUAAAGGACCUUAUUUUUGAUUAGUGGCCCAUAAUUUAUACCAGUAUAGACAUAUAGUAAACAAAUGUAUGGCAGAUGUAUGGGCCUGGUUUCUGAUAAUAUUUCAGAAUCUUGUUUUAAGUUCAUGGUUAGAAAUAUGACAAAACCUCCCCCAAAAAACACGCAACAUGGAGUCAGCCCACAAGAGCACCCGAUGUGGCUCAUUCUUCCACAGUCACCCGCCUCUCCCAACACAUUACUUCUUCUCUAACAUAUGCAAAGCUGACUAAUUUCCUUAAGCGAUUCACACGCUUGCACACAAUCAAAAACUGGUCAAUGACUUUAUGAGGAAAGGAAUCGCAAGCUGGUAUCAUCUUGCAAACUGAUUAGUUCAGUUUCCAUCUGGUUUAUAAACUUAAACCUGCUGCAGUGUGCCAAAUCAGCUGCCUGGCAUGGGGCCGACGCUGGGUGCGCACCACGGCUUCCUAGCUUGAAUUCUUUCCCUCUCCUCGCCUCUAUUUUGUGUCAGAGAUUAAAAAUAGCAAGUGGCCUUCUGCAGAAUAAGCAGUUCAUAGAUUCUGGCUUUGACGCUGCGUUUGCCUGGAGAGGCCAGCUGUCACCUGCAUGCAGGCAGAGUAGGCCUCGCCACUGAUUCUCUAUAGACACUGGGCUCUGGACUUUGGCUGUAAGACAAAACGGGUGUGUUUGCGCAUCUACUUUAUAUCGCAGGACAACUUCUGGUGUUUAUAACUUUGUUUAUGUUGAAGAUCAACAAUCACACUGAGCAAAAUGUGCAUAUGGUUGACGAUGUUGAUUUUAGAAAGGCAUGCAGCAAAUAAAUUACUGACAUACAAGCAUCCACUUUUGACCUAUAGCUAAUGCCAGUAUCAAUAUUUUUUAGUUUAAUUGAUUUUUUUCAUACGUUUUCUCGCUUUUAUCCAGAGAAACUGUGAAAUUAUCAUUAUAAAUAAUUGCUAAAUGUUUCUUCAUCACACUGUCUUUGAACACGUGAGGCUCUAAAUAGAGAAUCAAGUUAAGCACUUCAAAUCUGUCACUCAGUAAAGGACUGAAGCUGCUCCAUUUAGAAUUAAUGAGACACCAACCUUGUGAACACUUCGUUGGAACAAAUUUCAUUUUCUGGUCCAGAACAUCACUAUCAAACCUUAAUGUGUGUGUGUGUGGAAGCUCAAACAGCCAUUACACCAGGUUCACAAAGUCAGCCUCCGUCGGCUGAAGUUUUGAUCAGAUAAAAUUUCUGCCUGGGUGGUUUCUAGCUUAAGAGCUGCUACAAAUAUCCAACUUUAAAUCCCACAAGACCACUGGUUCGCAACCUUUCGCUUAUAUAUCAAAAGCCCUGUCAGAUAAGCUGAAGUACUCCUUUGACACAGCCCAUCACGUUCCAAACAUUUCAAUUGAUGGUAAGCCAGAUGUUCUUUUUAAGUCUUAACAAAAUAAGUGAAUAUUGUAGUAGUCAUAUUCUUGUACAGGAGCUGGUUGGGUCUACUUUGUGUUUGUGCUACUAACACUUGGUAGAAGCUUGAUGUUCAUCAAUCACGGCACAAAAAAUGUACUUUUCACCACCUACUAUUUUCAUUCUGUAGAGCCAGAAGGCUUGGUAUCAUGUUUGCAGAAAGCCUGCAUUUAUGACUUUAGGCUAACUAGUUCAACUAUUUUAAUGGUUUGGGUCUCGCUGUUUACCGCCCACAUAAAAUAAACAUUUUUCUUUCUUUUUAAAAUAA
Long non-coding RNA from Haplochromis burtoni (Burton's mouthbrooder), 2942 nucleotides. RefSeq lists it as uncharacterized. The record is from RefSeq and is a predicted model, not a curated record. Lineage: Eukaryota; Metazoa; Chordata; Actinopteri; Cichliformes; Cichlidae. The transcript is spliced from 4 exons.